Molecule: ribosomal RNA, 465 nt
Filed under: Vreelandella stevensii
Lineage: Bacteria; Pseudomonadati; Pseudomonadota; Gammaproteobacteria; Oceanospirillales; Halomonadaceae
Description: partial 16S ribosomal RNA
Rfam family: Bacterial small subunit ribosomal RNA
Source: RNAcentral
CCUACGGGUGGCUGCAGUGGGGAAUAUUGGACAAUGGGGGGAACCCUGAUCCAGCCAUGCCGCGUGUGUGAAGAAGGCCCUCGGGUUGUAAAGCACUUUCAGUGAGGAAGAACGCCUGGUGGUUAAUACCCAUCAGGAAAGACAUCACUCACAGAAGAAGCACCGGCUAACUCCGUGCCAGCAGCCGCGGUAAUACGGAGGGUGCGAGCGUUAAUCGGAAUUACUGGGCGUAAAGCGCGCGUAGGUGGCUUGAUAAGCCGGUUGUGAAAGCCCCGGGCUCAACCUGGGAACGGCAUCCGGAACUGUCAAGCUAGAGUGCAGGAGAGGAAGGUAGAAUUCCCGGUGUAGCGGUGAAAUGCGUAGAGAUCGGGAGGAAUACCAGUGGCGAAGGCGGCCUUCUGGACUGACACUGACACUGAGGUGCGAAAGCGUGGGUAGCACACAGGAUUAUAAACCCGUGUAGGC